GGACGAACGCUGGCGGCGUGCCUAACACAUGCAAGUCGAACGGAGCUGUUUUGGACGGAGACUUCGGUCAAAGACCAUAGCAGCUUAGUGGCGGACGGGUGAGUAACGCGUGAGUAACCUGCCCUUCAGAGGGGGAUAGUGUCUGGAAACGGACAGUAAUACCGCAUAAUGUACAUUGAUGGCAUCUUCGAUGUACCAAAGCUUUUGCGCUGAAGGAUGGGCUCGCGUCUGAUUAGAUAGUUGGUGAGGUAACGGCCCACCAAGGCGACGAUUGGUAGCCGGACUGAGAGGUUGAACGGCCACAUUGGGACUGAGACACGGCCCAGACUCCUACGGGAGGCAGCAGUGGGGAAUAUUGUACAAUGGGGGAAACCCUGAUGCAGCGACGCCGCGUGGUGGAAGAAGGUCUUCGGAUUGUAAACUCCUGUUGUUGGGGAAGAUAAUGACGGUACCCAACAAGGAAGUGACGGCUAACUACGUG
This 481-nucleotide ribosomal RNA is filed under the name uncultured bacterium. Its description in RNAcentral is "bacterial SSU rRNA". It matches the Rfam family "Bacterial small subunit ribosomal RNA", at positions 27 to 507 of the family's 1533-position model. The record is from RNAcentral.